RNAcentral lists this microRNA precursor (61 nucleotides) under Xenopus laevis (African clawed frog). RNAcentral describes it as "Xla-Mir-23-P4c_pre stem-loop". It matches the Rfam family "mir-23 microRNA precursor family", at positions 9 to 65 of the family's 73-position model. The record is from RNAcentral. Lineage: Eukaryota; Metazoa; Chordata; Amphibia; Anura; Pipidae.
GGAUUCCUGGCAGAGUGAUUUGGCAAUGUAUGGUACAAAAUCACAUUGCCAGGGAUUUCCA